UGCAAGUCGAGCGGAGUUACUUUGAAAGCUUGCUUUCAAAGUAACUUAGCGGCGGACGGGUGAGUAACACGUAGGCAACCUGCCCCUUAGACUGGGAUAACUACCGGAAACGGUAGCUAAUACCGGAUAAUUUCUUUUUUCUCCUGAAGAAAGAAUGAAAGACGGAGCAAUCUGUCACUGAGGGAUGGGCCUGCGGCGCAUUAGCUAGUUGGUGGGGUAACGGCCCACCAAGGCGACGAUGCGUAGCCGACCUGAGAGGGUGAACGGCCACACUGGGACUGAGACACGGCCCAGACUCCUACGGGAGGCAGCAGUAGGGAAUCUUCCGCAAUGGACGAAAGUCUGACGGAGCAACGCCGCGUGAGUGAUGAAGGUUUUCGGAUCGUAAAGCUCUGUUGCCAGGGAAGAACGUCCGGUAGAGUAACUGCUACCGGAGUGACGGUACCUGAAAAGAAAGCCCCGGCUAACUACGUGCCAGCAGCCGCGGUAAUACGUAGGGGGCAAGCGUUGUCCGGAAUUAUUGGGCGUAAAGCGCGCGCAGGCGGUCAUUUAAGUCUGGUGUUUAAACCUUGGGCUCCACCUGAGGUCGCACUGGAAACUGGGUGACUUGAGUACAGAAGAGGAAAGUGGAAUUCCACGUGUAGCGGUGAAAUGCGUAGAUAUGUGGAGGAACACCAGUGGCGAAGGCGACUUUCUGGGCUGUAACUGACGC
Molecule: ribosomal RNA, 712 nt
Filed under: Niallia circulans
Lineage: Bacteria; Bacillati; Bacillota; Bacilli; Caryophanales; Bacillaceae
Description: bacterial SSU rRNA
Rfam family: Bacterial small subunit ribosomal RNA
Source: RNAcentral